Molecule: long non-coding RNA, 5394 nt
Organism: Triticum aestivum (bread wheat)
Lineage: Eukaryota; Viridiplantae; Streptophyta; Magnoliopsida; Poales; Poaceae
Exons: 2
Source: RefSeq, a predicted model, not a curated record
GGUCGACAAGUGCGAGCGCGUCAACACUGUCGGCGAUGACGAUGGUUGGUCGACUAGCAAACAAAAUGGUUACUAUUAUGACUGUAAUGCAUUGGUGUUAUCGCUGACACCUUCAGCUACUAUGGGAUCCGCCUCGCCCAGGUAUGCCCAUGUCCAUUGCCCUUAUCUGGAUCCACAGCCCCUCUUUGUUUCUGAUUAUUGUUUGUUCUUAUAUACUCUCAAAUUUCCAUGAGUGCGAUAAGAUGAACGAGUAUCCCGUGUCUGCGGCAACUCGCAUAGCCUGAUCCGGAAGUACGUGUGUGCUGCAGGCAUUGCUUCCGCAGCAACGCCAAGGACAUUGGCUUUAUCAAGGUAUGAGCCACCCCACUGUUUAUUGAUUUCCUGAAUCAUGUGCCUGAGUUUGAUGACUGCUGAGUAGUAAUAUGUUACCCCAUGUUUUGCUUUGAACAAUAUAUAUGCUUUGUCUACAAGGCCUCUUGGUAUGGCGCACCAGUUUUAAUUUGUUGGAGACUACCAUUUGAUAGUGGGAGUUAUUGCAUAAUGUAGUGUAAUGUAUGACAUGUUAGAUUCAGAAUAUAUCUGUGUGUUGCUCUCCUCUUUCCUAGAGUAAACCUGGUUAAGUUCAGCGAUCAUCACAUCAUGUUCUGCCUUGCAUUAUUUUGUAUUGAUUUGAUGAAUGUGUAAUUUGUACGCACCAUAAGGCAUCUUGGAAUGGACGGAGUUGUGCAUAACUACAUGAUAUUUGCUCUGUUUGUUUGCUGUUCACACCUAUAUAAGUCUUACUCUACUGCAUCUAUCUCCAGUCUCAGCUAUUUUUACUAACCGUCAACUACCAAGUUUUUCUGAGCAUGCCAGUCCAUUUCAAAGCAGAACAAGUUGAGUGUAUUGCAAUUGCUCAAAUAUUUAUUAAGUAGGCCUUUAUAUAUUGUAUAUAUAUCUAUUUCCUGAAUAACGAUGAUUUAUUAGAAAUUGAGAUGAUUUUCCUUUUGAAGAAUGUUGUUUUCAUUUCCACUUUUAUCUCAUUAAUUGUAGGUUUUAUGCUUCAGUUUUUAGGUUUGGGUAAAUUAUUUUUCAAAUGCAUAUGUUGUGUCUGAAUACCUGAAUGUCUGUGUGUAGCUAAUUUCUUGUAUUCCUGUUCUUUUGUAUCAUCCCAAUCUUUUUAUACUGAUAGCUGCAUUUGCGCACUAAGAAUGGAUUUUCAGUACCCGGGUGUCCAGUCACCCCUUUAUCAUCACCGUACAUUUACAAUUCAAUGCCUGGAGAUAUGUACCAGAGAAGAGUAGCUAUCUUUCGUUUAACAGGCUUGUUCGGUCGCCAAGCCAUAUCGGAACUAGACUGGCACAGUUCCUACUAGGCGGAUUCCAACCCUGAGACGUCGAAAGGACAUGUUGAAAAGACGUGUCUCCUUAGACAUGUUGAUACUGUAGAUAAUGAGAGAGCGUAAGCGCAUUAAUAAAAAGAAACAAAGGGUGGCUAGACCGCUAGAGUGCCUGUAUGCGUCUGAAGCAGCAGGAGCAAGGUAAAAAAAGGCUACUUACAUUUUACUACUCAGUGGGAUCUUCUGUGAGCAAUGUAUAUACUCUGGUUCACAAAAAUACUGUUUGGGGAAGGGAUACAGAAGAAGCCACAUAGCUCUUUACAUAAGUAAUCUGAGGCCUUCAGAAAAUUACUGCAUGCAUGUUAGACCGUGGCUAACAUGCACCGGUUAUGAGUAGUCUCAUCAAACUGACAAGCUUGACCUGCUGCCAGCCCACGCAUAGGCCUAGUGCCUGUUGCCUAGACCUUUCUUUAUCUUAAAUGACCUGUUUAAGUACUGUGACACUGCAAAUCGUAUGCUGAUGUGCAGAUCAUAGCACGAAUCUUAGCGGAGCUGAACGGGCAGAUAAGGGGGAGUCUGGACUCCCGGGUGCCAUAGCACCUUUUCGUUUGUGCACUUGUUUAACAGUACCAUUAAGAAUGAAAACCUCAAAGGAAGCAAGGACUAGGAAAUUAUCAUCAAACUGUGGUGUUUCACCGAGGACGACCUUUAUCAACAAUGAAGUAAUUGUGCCUGGAAUUUGCUUUGAAAUUUUCAAUGCUUUGGACCUAACUCAAGUUAUAAUUUUGUAGUUAAACCACAUGAUAUUGUUUUCCAAUCGCAUGUUUUUCCUACACAAACCAUAUGAAUUUAAUGAGCUUGCUUCACUACUAUAUGCAAAGGUAUCAUCUAAAAGAAAUUAUGGGUUUCAGAUAUGCUCCAGUUUUAUUGCAUUUCAUUAUAUACAUGCCAGGCGGCUGCGCCCACAUAAGGGACAAAACUUGUUUUUGGCUCACGCCUAGCUGUCCAUUGUGUGGAUCAUGCACCAAUUCCAUCUGCCAAAUCAUAUUUCUGGGGUUUCCCCUCUUGCUUACAUUUCCAUUUGUAUACUUUAUGGAUUAUUCAAUCUUAUUUGUUUAGUAUAUAUAACUUGGAUGUCUCAUGCUUGGUAGGAGAUACAUAAUAAGGGAAUUGAGGCAAAGCAGUUGAAAUUUAAGAACGUCAUGUGCUCCUAUUACUUUGAUCAAUCUGCAGUACUGUUUAGCCUAUGAGCCAAUACGGGUGACCAGCGUGAGAAGAUGGGGCAAGGAUGAGGCCCUUCGUUUGGCCAUGGUAAGAUCCAUGCGUGGACCUCAGCCACCCGAACGACGAAGCCGUCAUCGACCAGAUCGCGAGUUGUACUCGGUGGAAGGCAACGGAAGACUUCCCUUUUCGAUCAAGGCCAAGCACGCAUGUCUAAUCCAUGGUUGGAUCACAUACCUCUUUCUUUUUUCAUGGAUGCUCUAAUUUUCAGAUUAUGCCAGCAUUUUUUUAGACAUUGAAUUAAAUGACUAUGCAUGUGUUGUUGCACAAACUGACUCACAUCAAUGUUUACAUUCAAUAUGGUUCUGUCAGUAAUUCUAUAUGCCUGCUCCUUUUUUUAAAAGUAGGUUGUUCAACUGUCGUUUAAUAGUCUUUAUAUAAUGGUGGUACGACGACAAGGAUAUGCUGAUGUAUUUGAGCUUCUUUGCCAUAGUUCAAAGUGUGUAGUCCGGGCUAUGCUUUAUAUAUGUUCUUUUUGGCGUUGACAAUCCAACAGAAAGUGUGCCCUAAAUUAUAGAUCAGUCCAUUCAUCUCGCCUCUUUUUUUAGGUGGCAGGGUCAGAUGGAUUUUCGUGAGCUUCGCCAUGGUUUUCUCUUCUGUUACUUGGUGCAGGGCCUGAUGGAAUUAUGCUGAACUGUAAUAUUUUGGUAGUACAGAACGGUUCAUUUAUUAUAGUUGUUCGUUGUAGUUUUAGAACCGUGGCAUUCGAUUAUCUUGUUAUAUUCAUUUUCCCCUCUGGUGGCGUGUGUGGUCGAUGCUUCAGGUUUGCAUCUCCUCCCGCAUCCCUCGAAUCCUUUCUGUAUUUUCCCUCCCGCCAAGGAAAGGGAGAUAGAAGCAUCUACUCGAAUUAGUGGUCAAAUCAUCCUAAAGAAUCAUGGUUAGCUACAUCUAACUAUGUGAUUGCAUUUGGAGCUAGAAUGAAGUUAGGUUCGUCUCUUCCCUGGAAACUAAUCAGCUAUGUCAUCUCCAUGAUUUGGGAGAUUAAAUAAAGAGCUAGGUUGAGGUUUCACGGGUCAGCCUAUCAAUUUGUGUUAGGCUGAUACAAAUAAUAUUUGUUUAGUUUAUACAAAGGUUACCUGACAAAUUCAUCUUGCUCUUUGCAAAUAUUAGAUGAUAUAAGUAAUGGAAGCACUAUCUUUAUGCAAACAAGAGCGCACACCUCCACCUGAGACUUAGAGGUGUGCGUCAUGUGUUUCAAUUUCUGAUAGAAACACAUAAUAUUUCUAUUUCGCUCUUUAGACAAUCGCAUGCACGUUGCACACUUAUGGCAUGACCAGGAAUGGAAAUGCACAAAGCAAAUGCAUUAUGACUCGAUGCUUUAAUUUAUAGGAACAUGUAUAAAUUGUGAGUUGCUUUUUGUUUGAUCAACAUUGUUUCUUCGUACGCUUACAUGGUUAUUGAUUUGGUGAUUAUUCAUCAUUUAAUUUUACCAGUACUUACAUGAUUAGUGCUUUUGUACAUCCCUUGCAGUGAACAAGCAGACUAGCAGAGAAAAGAUUGAAGGUACUUCAAAUUUUAUUGAAGAGGAUUCUGAUGGCCGGAUUUACAAGAUGCUUCAUAUGUUGGAUCAAAUUCUCAGUAUGAUCUUUGUGUGCUCCUUUUUUUAUACGACUAUGUUCUAAAAAGAAGAAUUAAUAUUUCCUCUAUGACGGCAGUGGCACGAUGGUUGAGAGGGGUGCUUUUUUCUUUGAUGCCUCCCCAAUACUAUUUCAUUCUCUCCCAUGUUUCCCAAAUCUGAAGUUACCAUUCCAUGUUCUGUUUCUGUACUUUCAACUCCUAAUCUCAAUAAUCAGAACCUCCAUGGCAGAUGUGGAGACCGAUCAUGAACCUCUCCUUUCACAUCAGAUUGUGUCUCAUCUAAAAAGCUUAGGUCUUAUUCCAUCAAUUUUGGCUUAAUACAUAUACCUAAUAAUUAAGCAAAGAAUUAACGCAUAAUUUGUUGAAUGACUACAACUUUCUGAACUCAAUCUACAAAUUUGAGAAUGUACCUUUUGCAUUUUUGAGCAAGGAAGUGAAUGUUGUGUUCAUAUGACUAAUGAUGAAGCUCUAACAUUCAAAGUUUAGCAACCAUCUUGUGAGAAGAGAGAUGGAUGCAAUACACAGAUUGUAUUGAUGUCAGAGGUAUAUGCUAUUUUAAGGGGCUUUGCUAGCACAGAUUCAGUAUAGUAUAGUGCAAUACGAUUAACCUGAAAAACUAGAUAGAUACAGACACUUGUUGUGAACUAAUCUACUUCAAUAUAUCUCAAAUAUUGAUGACCUUCUCCUAUGAUUUUUGUCUUUUCGGAUUCUCAAUAUCACUUCCAAAGGUUUAUUUUAGUAACCUUCACUUUUUUGAUAUUGAGUUGUUCCUUGAACAUAGAUCCUUCGGAGAGGAAGAGUUUAUAUUGCGGGCAAGGAAUCAGAUCUUGAGGUGACCACACAUCCAUUCAAACCAGGUUCGUUGCUGGUUCGUUGUCGGACAGUUAAGAACUGAAAUAGCUGAAGAGAACAUUAGGAGGUGAUGUUAGAAGUUUGCUUGUGUGCUACCUGCUGUUGUGAUUAGAAGGAAUUUGCAUGUUCUCACAGAAUGGAAAAGGAGGCACUAUGGUGAGACUUGACUAAAUGUAGAGUUUUGAAUCCCUUUACCAUAGUAGUUUACAUAUUCUUUUCGUGAGGCAAUGAUUAAUCAGUGUUAAAGCUGCUCCGCAUAUUAGUAAAACAAAAUUGUAUUUUAAUUGGAAAGUAUAGUUUCUUUACAGAACCAGCGACCGAUCAAUGUUGAAUUAGCUUUGAAUAUUUUGUUGAAGUUCAUUGAA